RNAcentral lists this ribosomal RNA (446 nucleotides) under uncultured bacterium. RNAcentral's name for it is "partial 16S ribosomal RNA". It matches the Rfam family "Bacterial small subunit ribosomal RNA", at positions 338 to 795 of the family's 1533-position model. The record is from RNAcentral.
CCUACGGGAGGCAGCAGUCGAGAAUCAUUCACAAUGGGGGAAACCCUGAUGGUGCGACGCCGCGUGGGGGAAUGAAGGUCUUCGGAUUGUAAACCCCUGUCAUGUGGGAGCAAAUUAAAAAGAUAGUACCACAAGAGGAAGAGACGGCUAACUCUGUGCCAGCAGCCGCGGUAAUACAGAGGUCUCAAGCGUUGUUCGGAAUCACUGGGCGUAAAGCGUGCGUAGGCUGUUUCGUAAGUCGUGUGUGAAAGGCGCGGGCUCAACCCGCGGACGGCACAUGAUACUGCGAGACUAGAGUAAUGGAGGGGGAACCGGAAUUCUCGGUGUAGCAGUGAAAUGCGUAGAUAUCGAGAGGAACACUCGUGGCGAAGGCGGGUUCCUGGACAUUAACUGACGCUGAGGCACGAAGGCCAGGGGAGCGAGAGGGAUUAGAUACCCGAGUAGUC